This is an RNA transcript of Apus apus (common swift), 6363 nucleotides long. It is a transcript of the gene named pre-mRNA processing factor 4B, with no coding region annotated. The record is from RefSeq and is a predicted model, not a curated record. The transcript is spliced from 16 exons. NCBI's taxonomy places the organism in Eukaryota, Metazoa, Chordata, Aves, Apodiformes, Apodidae.
CGGCGGCGGCAGCGAAGGAGUUGGGAAGUUCAAAAUGGCCGCCGCGGCGGAGCCCGAGCAGCGAGCGCCCGAGGUUGAGGAUGCUGAUGCAUCUGAGAAAAGUGUAAAUGAAGAAAAUGGGGAAGUAUCAGAGGCAGACCAACCUCAGAACAAGCACAGCCGGCACAAAAAAAAGAAACACAAACACCGAAGUAAACACAAGAAACAUAAACAUUCUUCAGAAGAAGAUAAGGACAAAAAACAUAAACACAGACACAAACAUAAGAAACAUAAACGGAAAGAGGUAGCUGAUGCCUCUGACAAGGAAGAUGGACCAGCUAAAAGAACUAAAAUUGAUUUUUUAGCUCCUCUGGAAGACUUGGAGAAACAAAGAGCAUUAUUGAAAGCUGAGCUUGAAAAUGAAUUAAUGGAAGGAAAAGUCCAGUCUGGGAUGGGAUUAAUAUUACAAGGUUAUGAGUCAGGAUCUGAAGAGGAGGGGGAGAUUAAUGAAAAAGUACGAAAUGGAACAAAAGCUACAGCUAAGUCAAACACUAAGGGGAAACUAGAACCUGUGGACAAUAAAACUAGUUCCAAGAAAGGAAGUAAGAGUGAAUCAAAAGAAAGGACUAGGCACAGAUCUGACAAAAAGAAAGGCAAGGUAGGAGUUGAUGGAAUCAAAGAGAAGACAACUAGAAGCAAGUCGAAAGAGAGGAGGAAAUCCAAAAGCCCUUACAAGAGAAGUAAAUCUCAAGAUCAGACAAGAAAAUCCAGGUCUCCAAUGCUCAAAAGGCGAUCUCAGGAGAAAAACAGAAAAUCUAAGUCUCCCCCAGAGGACAGAACUAAGGCUGAUGAUAAAAGUAAGUCAAGAGAUCGCAGAAAGUCUCCAGUUGUAAAUGAAAACAAAAGUAGAGAUCGUGGUAGAAAAUCUAAAUCUCCAAUAGAACUAAGAAGCAAAUCCAAAGAUAGAAGAUCACGGUCCAAAGAUAGAAAACCUAGGAGAUCAGAGACUGACAAAGAAAAAAAGCCAAUUAAAUCUCCUUCUAAAGAUGCUUCUUCAGGGAAAGAAAACAGGUCCCCUAGACGACCUGGACGUAGCCCAAAAGGAAGAAGCUUAUCUCCCAAACAACGUGAGAAGUCAAGAAGAAGCAGAUCGCCUCUCUUUAAUGAUCGUAGAUCUAAACAGAGUAAAUCACCCUCUCGAACCCGGUCUCCAGUUAGAAGAGUGAGGAGUAGGUCUGCAGAAAGGAAAAGAAGAGAAUCAGAAAGGCGGCGUCUUUCUUCUCCCAGAACACGGACCAGAGAUGAUAUUUUGUCUAGACGUGAGAGAUCAAAAGAUGUUAGCCCACCCAGUAGGUGGUCUCCAUCCAGAAGAAGGUCUCGAACCCCCAUUAGAAGGAGAUCUCGUUCACCACUUCGGCGUAGCCGAUCUCCAAGAAGGCGGAGCAGGUCUCCUCGGAGGAGGGAUAGAGGCCGAAGAAGUAGAUCUCGCCUUCGAAGGAGGUCCAGGUCACGUGGUGGCCAUAGACGUAGGAGCAGAAGCAAAGUUAAAGAAGACAAAUUUAAAGGUAGUCUUUCUGAGGGUAUGAAAGCUGAACAGGAGUCUUCAUCGGAUGAAAAUCUUGAAGACUUUGAUUUGGAAGAAGAGGAUGAAGAAGCAGAGAUAAGACAAAGAAGGUUACAGCGGCAAGCAAUUGUUCAGAAAUACAAAGGCCAGACAGAAGACAGCAAUAUAUCUGUACCAUCUGAACCAAGCAGUCCUCAAAGUAGUACUCGUAGUCGCUCAAAUUCGCCAGAUGACAUCCUAGAAAGAGUAGCUGCUGAUGUUAAGGAGUAUGAACGGGAAAAUGUGGAUACAUUUGAGGCAUCAGUAAAAGCCAAGCACAACCUCAUGACAGUUGAGCAGAAUAAUGGUUCAGCUCAGAAGAAACUGCUAGCUCCUGAUAUGUUCACAGAAUCAGAUGAUAUGUUCGCUGCAUACUUUGAUAGUGCUCGUCUAAGGGCUGCUGGGUUUGGAAAAGACUUCAAAGAAAACCCCAAUCUCAGGGAUAACUGGACUGAUGCCGAAGGCUAUUACCGUGUUAAUAUAGGUGAAGUUCUAGAUAAACGUUACAAUGUCUAUGGUUACACUGGUCAGGGAGUCUUCAGUAACGUAGUGCGAGCCAGGGACAUGGCAAGAGCCAACCAAGAAGUAGCAGUUAAAAUCAUCAGGAACAAUGAACUUAUGCAAAAAACUGGCCUAAAAGAACUGGAAUUUUUGAAGAAGCUCAAUGAUGCAGAUCCUGAUGAUAAAUUUCACUGUCUACGGUUGUUCAGGCAUUUCUACCACAAACAACAUCUCUGUCUGGUGUUUGAGCCACUCAGUAUGAAUUUACGAGAGGUGUUGAAAAAGUAUGGGAAAGAUGUUGGACUCCAUAUUAAAGCUGUGCGUUCCUACAGCCAGCAGUUGUUCCUGGCUUUGAAACUUCUUAAAAGAUGCAAUAUCCUACAUGCAGACAUUAAACCAGACAAUAUUUUGGUGAAUGAGUCCAAAACAAUAUUAAAACUUUGCGAUUUUGGAUCAGCUUCACAUGUUGCAGAUAAUGACAUCACACCCUAUCUAGUUAGUAGAUUUUAUCGAGCUCCAGAAAUCAUUAUAGGAAAAAUCUAUGACUAUGGUAUAGAUAUGUGGUCUGUAGGCUGCACAUUAUAUGAACUUUAUACAGGAAAAAUACUCUUUCCUGGCAAAACCAAUAACCAUAUGUUGAAACUAGCCAUGGAUCUCAAAGGAAAGAUGCCAAACAAGAUGAUUCGAAAAGGUGUGUUCAAAGACCAGCACUUUGAUCAAAAUCUCAACUUUAUGUAUAUAGAAGUAGAUAAAGUGACAGAAAGGGAGAAAGUUACUGUUAUGAGCACCAUUAAUCCAACCAAGGACCUGUUAGCAGACUUGAUUGGGUGCCAACGACUCCCUGAAGACCAGCGUAAAAAAGUACACCAGCUAAAGGACUUGUUGGACCAGAUUCUAAUGUUAGACCCAGCUAAACGGAUUAGCAUCAACCAGGCUCUGCAGCAUGCCUUCAUCCAGGAAAAAAUCUAAACCAGAUGAAGAAGUUCAAAGGGUUUGAGUAAUUAAGAUACAAAGACUGAAGAAAUUUCACAGGAGUUAUUAAUGUAUAUAAAACAUAAAUAUUUCCCCUGCAAAGUUGAGGAAGAAAUGAUACAUUUGAAUUAACAACAAGGCUGAUAUUUCUUUUAGAAAUGUUAGAGUAAUUCUGUUUUGUGUCUUACGUGAAAAUUUUCACUGUAGAACUGUUUUAAUUGCCAAGACUGCACAGAAGUACAAUGCUAAUGUAUAUGGUUGCAGUUCGUAUAUAUUAUAAAAAGAAAAAAAGCAUCUGUUAUAAAAAAAAAAGAAAGGAAAAAAAAAAAAGAGCAGUAAUACUGGGUGGUUGAUUUGUUUUUAGCAGACUUGGCUUCAUUUUUGUCUUUAAAAAAUGGCCAGCAUAAAUGCUGUUUAUAUUCACAUUUUCCUAGGUGUGUGUGUGCAGGCCACAGCAGCAUGCCCUUGGUGUAGUCAGUGCCGAAGGGGGUCUGUUCCUUCUUGAGCCUGCCCGCAGGGAUGGUCUCCUCUUUUAAAGCAGGUUGUGUACAACUUUCAGUACACUGAAGGUAAGCUAACCCAUCAACAUCACCGGUGUUUAAGCUGUUAUUUUACUGGAACAACUGACAAAUGAGAGACAAUAGCGUUGUGGCAGAAUUCCCUGCAUGUUUGAGAAAUGGUCUUGUUUUCUUUUCUGGCAUUGCGACCGUGGCAUAGUUACAACUUCUGUUCUGUUCAUCACAUUUAAAAUUUGGAGAGUGCGCACUUGAUGGAUAGAGCGCCUUCAGUGUACUGUUUCUUAUUACUUUAAUUUUUUUAAUCAACUUGCUAUAGACUUUGUAUACAUUUUGUUAAAUACAGUUCACUAUGACAUAGAAACCAGUACUAAAGGAAGAGUUUUCAUUUCGUAAUUACAUACGUUGGGAUCUCAUUCGAAAGACCUUAUAUCUAAAGGAUAGACAACAUAACGAAAUUUUUAACUAUUUGUAUGUCAUUUUGAAAGUGUACUGCUUUAUGCUAAAAGUGUUUCAUUUGUUCAUUGUUUUCAUUAUUUGUGAUCAUGUUGUCUUUCAAUACAGGCAUAAACCUUCCACUCUUGAACAAAGCAGCUGCUUUUUAAAAGCGAGAAAAAGGAAAGCGAGUCACAGGCCACUCAACGCCUACUCCAUGGGUCUGAUUUGCUGAGACACCAACUUCACCUUCCUAACAAGGUUAUUUCUGACAGCAUGUGUAGAUAAACAUUUAGCAACAAGUUAAAACAGCUUGAAACAUUUGAAUUGGUUAUACAGCGUGAGGCAACCAAAAUAAAACUUUUCAGGUCCAUCCUGCUGUUUUAGUGUUCUCUUUGACAAUGUUAAGAGCUUCAUCUUUUCCUUUUUAUUAAUAUAUUCUGAAAAGCUGUGAAAACCCCACUGGUUUCACAUACUUUAUAAUACUUCUUUGAACUAAGAAGGGUUUUUGUAUCCAUCUAGGUACAUAAUGGCAACAGUCAUGCACUCUUAGUGCACUCAAGAAUGGAAAAAUGACACAAAGCAGUCAUUCUGCUGGUGGGGAAUACCCCACCGAGGAGAUGUAAUGAACUAACUACGAAAACAAGCAGGAGAUGGGUGGUUUUGAAUGCCUAUUUGGAACCUUCAACCUGUCUCUUCUCAAUUGAUAAUGUAAAAUUCUUUAUUUUUAAAAAAUCUUGCCUUACUUUCGCUUAUUAAGGUAUUUUGUUCACAGAGGAAAUUUUUAAAAUUAGCUUUCGUAUUUAAUGAAAGACUAGUUCCUUGCUAGUCAAAUAGAGAAGCUAACUUGUACCUUCACAUGACAGGCAGCACUUAGGGCAAUUUUACACAGAGGUAGUGAUAGCUUAGUCUUUCUGUUGCUUUGUGCUUUAAGUAGGAAUAUGAAACAAUGCAAUGAGUUGGUGAUGCAGAAACAAAGCAGUAGAAAAGAUGCCCCUAAAUGCCUACAGAACUGUUUUAAGCUAUUCUGGAGAAGCGUAAAGUUGCUCGUUUACUUGUUCUUUGUGUUGUAGGUGCAGCUCAAAAGAAGAUGAUGGCUACCAGAAGACAUGAACAAAGGUUUCUGUCCUAUAAAAGAUACGAAAAAUACUCUUCAUGUAGUUCUGUCUUAAUCUUUCGGUUUCCAGCAUUCCAGUUUAGAAUUGAUUAACACUGCUGCAGUGCUGAUAAUUUCUGAAACUUACUGUAAUAGAACUUCUUACAUAGAUGUGCUUUUUUGUUUCCAAUUCAAGAGAUAUUUUUACUUGGAUUAAAUGUAGGUAAAUAAGCAUUACUGUUUAAACACAGUUUUCUUAAAAUAAUUAUAGUAUUAUGCCUAUGAAAUUUAGGGAAAAACCUGCCAUUCUGUUUGGUUAAAAUCUGUGUUGUAACUAGUAAAUAAUUAAGCAGAUGAUGUGUUUUUGUUUUUUUUUAACUUCAGCAGGUUGGUUAUUUAAUUGUCAAACUUUACUGUUGAUACGUAGACUAUACGUACACUAACAAGUGUAUUUCAGUCCUUAGUCCAGUGUGAGUUUCAGCUGAUACUUUUUGGCAAAAAAAAAAAAAAAAAAAAUUAAAUCUUUAGUUCUGGCUUCAGAAGCCUCUGGAAUUGAGGGCUUUUUGACAGUGUUAAGGAACCUCUCCAGUUUUAGGUGGUACUUGUCUCAGUAGAGCCUGUGGUCUCUUGAGGAGAGCAGAGUAGCUGUUAGUGCCACUGCUGUCAGAUGAAUUCCAGCUAUUACAGCUUGGGGCAAACAGAAUAGCUGUGCAACUGAGUCUUGUUGAAAUAUUUCUCAGCUGAUCUAAGAGGGAGGAUAAUUUCUUUUCCUCUUAUACAGGAAGAUGUAAUUUGUAUCUUCACCUGAUGUCCUACAUUACAGACAGUAAUCUGCUGUGCUAUUUUCUGUUUCCUUCUCCCUCAUGGUGAUGAGGAGCUUUACAUUUAACACACUUAGUUUGCCAAGCAUUCAGGAAAAAAAAACCAAGAUACCAGCCUCACGCAGUUAGAAUGUGUUUUUAUUAGCUUGGUGUAUACUAAUAUAAUUUAAAAAUUUAAAAACUGUUUGAGAGGUUUUGAUAGAAUAUUAAUGGUUCCUUUAAAACCCUUUUAAUAAUGCUUUAUCUCCAUACAUAGGGUAAGUGGCAUUAAACCUCUGAAGAAUCUUUAUGUGUAUAUUGACCUGUGCACGGAAGGCAGACCAGUCGGUAAUACUACUGGAGAUAGAGCCAUCUUCUACAGUAUGUGUAAAACUGUAACUUGGGUGGAGGAUAUUGGGAGGUGACAAUUCCUUGAAAUUAAUAAAGUACACUUAAAACUUA